Molecule: unclassified non-coding RNA, 359 nt
Filed under: soil metagenome
Description: partial contains 5.8S ribosomal RNA, internal transcribed spacer 2, and large subunit ribosomal RNA
Rfam family: 5.8S ribosomal RNA (bases 1-119)
Source: RNAcentral
GAUGAAGAACGCAGCAAAGUGCGAUAACUAGUGUGAAUUGCAUAUUCAGUGAAUCAUCGAGUCUUUGAACGCAACUUGCGCUCAAUGGUAUUCCAUUGAGCACGCCUGUUUCAGUAUCAAAAACACCCCACAUUCAUAAUUUUGUUGUGAAUGGAAAUGAGAGUUUCGGCUUCAUUGCUGAAUUCUUUAAAAUUAUUAGGCCUGAACUAUUGUUCUUUCUGCCUGAACAUUUUUUUAAUAUAAAGGAAUGCUCUAGUAAAAAGACUAUCUCUGGGGCCUCCCAAAUAAAUCAUUCUUAAAUUUGAUCUGAAAUCAGGCGGGAUUACCCGCUGAACUUAAGCAUAUCAAUAAGCGGAGGA